Molecule: ribosomal RNA, 423 nt
Filed under: uncultured bacterium
Lineage: Bacteria
Description: bacterial SSU rRNA
Rfam family: Bacterial small subunit ribosomal RNA
Source: RNAcentral
CGCAAGCCUGAUGCAGCCAUGCCGCGUGUAUGAAGAGCCUUCGGGUUGUAAAGUACUUUCAGCAGUGAGGAAGGUGGAUAUGUUAAUAGCAUAUUCAUUUGACGUUAGCUGCAGAAGAAGCACCGGCUAACUCCGUGCCAGCAGCCGCGGUAAUACGGAGGGUGCGAGCGUUAAUCGGAAUUACUGGGCGUAAAGCGCAUGCAGGUGGUUUGUUAAGUCAGAUGUGAAAGCCCGGGGCUCAACCUCGGAAUUGCAUUUGAAACUGGCAAACUAGAGUACUGUAGAGGGGGUAGAAUUUCAGGUGUAGCGGUGAAAUGCGUAGAGAUCUGAAGGAAUACCGGUGGCGAAGGCGGCCCCCUGGACAGAUACUGACACUCAGAUGCGAAAGCGUGGGGACGCAAACAGGAUUAGAUACCCUGGUAG